RNAcentral lists this ribosomal RNA (451 nucleotides) under uncultured bacterium. Its description in RNAcentral is "partial 16S ribosomal RNA". It matches the Rfam family "Bacterial small subunit ribosomal RNA", at positions 28 to 507 of the family's 1533-position model. The record is from RNAcentral.
GAUGAACGCUGGCGGCGUGCCUAACACAUGCAAGUCGAGCGGCAGCGAGGGGUGCUUGCACCCUGUCGGCGAGCGGCGGACGGCUGAGUAACGCGUGGGAACGUGCCCCAAAGUGAGGAAUAACUGCCCGAAAGGGUAGCUAAUACCGCAUAUUAUCUUCGGAUCAAAGGAUUUAUCCGCUUUGGGAGCGGCUCGCGUCGGAUUAGGUAGUUGGUGAGGUAAUGGCUCACCAAGCCGACGAUCCGUAACUGGUCUGAGAGGAUGACCAGCCAGACUGGAACUGAGACACGGUCCAGACUCCUACGGGAGGCAGCAGUGAGGAAUCUUCCACAAUGGGCGAAAGCCUGAUGGAGCAACGCCGCGUGCAGGACGAAGGCCUUCGGGUUGUAAACUGCUUUUAUAAGUGAGGAAUAUGACGGUAACUUAUGAAUAAGGAUCGGCUAACUACGUG